GAUGAACGCUGGCGGCGUGCCUAAUACAUGCAAGUCGAGCGAACAGACGAGGAGCUUGCUCCUCUGACGUUAGCGGCGGACGGGUGAGUAACACGUGGAUAACCUACCUAUAAGACUGGGAUAACUUCGGGAAACCGGAUCUAAUACCGGAUAAGAUAUUGAACCGCAUGGUUCAAUAGUGAAAGACGGUUUUGCUGUCACUUAUAGAUGGAUCCGCGCCGCAUUAGCUAGUUGGUAAGGUAACGGCUUACCAAGGCAACGAUGCGUAGCCGACCUGAGAGGGUGAUCGGCCACACUGGAACUGAGACACGGUCCAGACUCCUACGGGAGGCAGCAGUAGGGAAUCUUCCGCAAUGGGCGAAAGCCUGACGGAGCAACGCCGCGUGAGUGAUGAAGGUCUUCGGAUCGUAAAACUCUGUUAUUAGGGAAGAACAAAUGUGUAAGUAACUAUGCACGUCUUGACGGUACCUAAUCAGAAAGCCACGGCUAACUACGUG
RNAcentral lists this ribosomal RNA (497 nucleotides) under uncultured bacterium. RNAcentral describes it as "partial 16S ribosomal RNA". It matches the Rfam family "Bacterial small subunit ribosomal RNA", at positions 28 to 507 of the family's 1533-position model. The record is from RNAcentral.